AUGGGAGCUUGCUCCCUGAUGUUAGCGGCGGACGGGUGAGUAACACGUGGGUAACCUGCCUGUAAGACUGGGAUAACUCCGGGAAACCGGGGCUAAUACCGGAUGGUUGUCUGAACCGCAUGGUUCAGACAUAAAAGGUGGCUUCGGCUACCACUUACAGAUGGACCCGCGGCGCAUUAGCUAGUUGGUGAGGUAACGGCUCACCAAGGCGACGAUGCGUAGCCGACCUGAGAGGGUGAUCGGCCACACUGGGACUGAGACACGGCCCAGACUCCUACGGGAGGCAGCAGUAGGGAAUCUUCCGCAAUGGACGAAAGUCUGACGGAGCAACGCCGCGUGAGUGAUGAAGGUUUUCGGAUCGUAAAGCUCUGUUGUUAGGGAAGAACAAGUGCCGUUCAAAUAGGGCGGCACCUUGACGGUACCUAACCAGAAAGCCACGGCUAACUACGUGCCAGCAGCCGCGGUAAUACGUAGGUGGCAAGCGUUGUCCGGAAUUAUUGGGCGUAAAGGGCUCGCAGGCGGUUUCUUAAGUCUGAUGUGAAAGCCCCCGGCUCAACCGGGGAGGGUCAUUGGAAACUGGGGAACUUGAGUGCAGAAGAGGAGAGUGGAAUUCCACGUGUAGCGGUGAAAUGCGUAGAGAUGUGGAGGAACACCAGUGGCGAAGGCGACUCUCUGGUCUGUAACUGACGCUGAGGAGCGAAAGCGUGGGGAGCGAACAGGAUUAGAUACCCUGGUAGUCCACGCCGUAAACGAUGAGUGCUAAGUGUUAGGGGGUUUCCGCCCCUUAGUGCUGCAGCUAACGCAUUAAGCACUCCGCCUGGGGAGUACGGUCGCAAGACUGAAACUCAAAGGAAUUGACGGGG
Molecule: ribosomal RNA, 863 nt
Filed under: Bacillus sp. (in: firmicutes)
Lineage: Bacteria; Bacillati; Bacillota; Bacilli; Caryophanales; Bacillaceae
Description: bacterial SSU rRNA
Rfam family: Bacterial small subunit ribosomal RNA
Source: RNAcentral